CAGCCAGGUGAACCUGAGUGUUCACAACCGCCUGGAGCUGCGGAACUCCUCCAAUGUCCUGGGGAUCAUCCGCGGGGCUGUGGAGCCUGACCGCUAUGUGCUCUAUGGAAACCACCGGGACAGCUGGGUGCACGGGGCCGUGGACCCCAGCAGUGGCACUGCUGUCCUGCUGGAGCUCUCCCGUGUCCUGGGGACCCUGCUAAAGAAGGGCACCUGGCGCCCCCGCAGAUCGAUC
Myotis davidii is the source of this 235-nucleotide long non-coding RNA. RefSeq lists it as uncharacterized. The transcript is spliced from 3 exons. The record is from RefSeq and is a predicted model, not a curated record. NCBI's taxonomy places the organism in Eukaryota, Metazoa, Chordata, Mammalia, Chiroptera, Vespertilionidae.